AGACGUAGGGGGCGAGCGUUGUCCGGAAUUACUGGGCGUAAAGAGCACGUAGGCGGAUGUAUAAGUCAGGUGUGAAAGACCGCAGCCUAACUGCGGGAUUGCACUUGAAACUGUAUAUCUUGAGGGCAGGAGAGGUUAGUAGAAUUCCUGGUGUAGCGGUGAAAUGCGUAGAAAUCAGGAGGAAUACCAGUGGCGAAGGCGACUGACUGGACUGACCCUGACGCUGAGGUGCGAAAGCGUGGGUAGCAAACAGGAUUAGAUACCCUGGUAGUCCACGCCGUAAACGAUGGAUACUAGGUGUGGGAGGUAUCGACCCCUUCCGUGCCGCAGCUAACGCAAUAAGUAUCCCGCCUGGGGAGUACGGUCGCAAGGCUGAA
This 377-nucleotide ribosomal RNA is filed under the name uncultured bacterium. RNAcentral's name for it is "bacterial SSU rRNA". It matches the Rfam family "Bacterial small subunit ribosomal RNA", at positions 523 to 898 of the family's 1533-position model. The record is from RNAcentral.